Zootermopsis nevadensis is the source of this 242-nucleotide non-coding RNA. The record is from RefSeq and is a predicted model, not a curated record. Lineage: Eukaryota; Metazoa; Arthropoda; Insecta; Blattodea; Termopsidae.
AUUUGUUACUAUUAAGGGGCGUAAUGCUGACCACUCACCCCGAUCUAGUGCCGAGGUCAAGAAAGAGUAGGAGCUAUAACCUCCACUCCCCACAAACGACAUACACGGCGUGUAGCGGGAUGUUUUUUUAUUAUUAUUAUUAUUAUAUUAAAGAGAAGUAAAUCCUUCAAAUAAUAUUUAGCAAAUAAGUAUUUAUAACAAAAUGUUUUUCCAAUGACAAAUUAAAUACCAACUCAGUUUAA